RNAcentral lists this ribosomal RNA (489 nucleotides) under uncultured microorganism. RNAcentral describes it as "bacterial SSU rRNA". It matches the Rfam family "Bacterial small subunit ribosomal RNA", at positions 9 to 462 of the family's 1533-position model. The record is from RNAcentral.
GAGUUUGAUCCUGGCUCAGGAUGAACGCCGGCGGUGUGCCUAAUACAUGCAAGUCGUACGCACUGGCCCAACUGAUUGAUGGUGCUUGCACCUGAUUGACGAUGGAUCACCAGUGAGUGGCGGACGGGUGAGUAACACGUAGGUAACCUGCCCCGGAGCGGGGAUAACAUUUGGAAACAGAUGCUAAUACCGCAUAACAACAAAGGCCACAUGGCUUUUGUUUGAAAGAUGGCUUUGGCCAUCACUCUGGGAUGGGCCUGCGGUGCAUUAGCUAGUUGGUAAGGUAACGGCUUACCAAGGCGAUGAUGCAUAGCCGAGUUGAGAGACUGAUCGGCCACAAUGGAACUGAGACACGGUCCAUACUCCUACGGGAGGCAGCAGUAGGGAAUCUUCCACAAUGGGCGCAAGCCUGAUGGAGCAACACCGCGUGAGUGAAGAAGGGUUUCGGCUCGUAAAGCUCUGUUGUUGGAGAAGAACGUGCGUGAGAGU